Molecule: ribosomal RNA, 1623 nt
Filed under: Triticum aestivum (bread wheat)
Lineage: Eukaryota; Viridiplantae; Streptophyta; Magnoliopsida; Poales; Poaceae
Description: partial small subunit ribosomal RNA
Source: RNAcentral
AUGGGCUCGUUGCCGGAGCAGCAGCAGGUCGUCUUCCGCUCGACGCUGCCGGACAUCGCCAUCCCGGACCACCUCCCGCUGCACGACUACGUCUUCGAGCGCCUGGCCGAGCGCCGCGACCGCGCCUGCCUCAUCGACGGCGCCACGGGCGAGACGCUCACGGUCGGCGACGUGCACCGCCUGUCCCGGCGCGUGGCGGCGGGGCUGUACUCCCUCGGCGUCCGCCACGGCAGCACGGUGAUGCUGCUCCUUCCCAACUGCGUCGAGUUCGCGCUGGCCUUCCUCGCCGCGUCCCGCCUCGGCGCGGCCACCACCACGGCGAACCCGCUCCACACCCCGCCCGAGAUCGCCAAGCAGGCCGCGGCGUCCCGCGCCACCCUCGUGGUGACCGAGCCGGCGUUCGUCGCCAAGGUGCGGGGCCUCGCGGGCGUCACCGUCGUCGCCACGGGCGACGGCGCCGAGGGCUGCGCCUCGUUCGCCGACCUCGCGGCCGCCGACGACUCGGCGCUGCCGGAGGCGCCCAUCGACGUGGCCAACGACGUGGUGGCGCUGCCCUACUCGUCGGGCACCACGGGGCUCCCCAAGGGCGUCAUGCUGUCGCACCGCGGGCUGGUCACCAGCGUCGCGCAGCUCGUCGACGGCGACAACCCCAACCUCCACCUCCGGGAGGACGACGUCGUCCUCUGCGUGCUCCCCAUGUUCCACGUCUACUCGCUGCACUCCAUCCUGCUCUGCGGGCUGCGCGCCGGCGCCGCCCUCGUCGUCAUGAAGCGCUUCGACACGGUCAAGAUGAUGGAGCUGGUGGAGCGCCACGGCAUCACCAUCGCGCCGCUCGUGCCGCCCAUCGUCGUCGAGAUGGCCAAGGGAGACGCGCUGGACCGCCACGACCUCUCCUCCGUGCGCAUGGUCAUCUCCGGCGCCGCGCCCAUGGGCAAGGAGCUGCAGGACAUCAUCCACGCCAAGCUCCCCAAUGCCGUGCUCGGACAGGGCUAUGGGAUGACAGAGGCAGGUCCGGUGCUGUCGAUGUGCAUGGCGUUCGCCAAGGAGCCGUCGCCGGUGAAGUCCGGCGCCUGCGGCACGGUGGUAAGGAACGCGGAGCUCAAGAUCGUCGACCCAGAGACCGGUCUGUGCCUCGGGCGCAACCAGCCCGGGGAGAUUUGCAUCAGGGGGAGGCAGAUCAUGAAAGGGUACCUCGACAACCCGGAGGCGACGGCGGAGACCGUGGACAAGGACGGGUGGCUGCACACCGGCGACGUCGGGUUCGUGGACGCCGACGACGAGAUCUUCAUCGUGGACCGGCUCAAGGAGCUCAUCAAGUACAAGGGCUUCCAGGUGGCGCCCGCGGAGCUCGAGGCCAUGCUCAUCGCCCACCCCGGCAUCGCCGACGCCGCCGUCGUCCCGAUGAAGGAUGAUGCCAGCGGCGAGGUCCCGGUGGCGUUCGUCGUGCCGUCGCCGGACGGCGCCGACAUGACCGAGGACGAGAUCAAGCAGUACGUGGCGAAGCAGGUGGUGUUCUACAAGAGGCUGCAGAAGGUCUUCUUCGUGAGCUCCAUCCCCAAGGCGCCGUCGGGGAAGAUUCUGAGAAAGGACCUCCGAGCGAAGCUGGCCGCCGGAUCGUGCUGA